GCUCAGGAUGAACGCUGGCGGCGUGCUUAACACAUGCAAGUCGAACGAAGCGCGCGGAAGGAAGGCCUUCGGGCCGGAGAGCCGCGGGACUGAGUGGCGGACGGGUGAGUAAUGCGUGGGCAACCCGCCCCGUACAGGGGGAUAACAGCCGGAAACGGCUGCUAAUACCGCAUAAGCGCACAGCGCCGCAUGGCGCGGUGUGAAAAGCUCCGGCGGUACGGGAGGGGCCCGCGUCUGAUUAGGCAGUUGGCGGGGCAGCGGCCCACCAAACCGACGAUCAGUAGCCGGCCUGAGAGGGCGGCCGGCCACAUUGGGACUGAGACACGGCCCAAACUCCUGCGGGAGGCAGCAGUGGGGAAUAUUGCACAAUGGGGGAAACCCUGAUGCAGCGACGCCGCGUGAGCGAAGAAGUAUUUCGGUAUGUAAAGCUCUAUCAGCAGGGAAGAAAAAAAUGACGGUACCUGAGUAAGAAGCACCGGCUAAAUACGUGCCAGCAGCCGCGGUAAUACGUAUGGUGCAAGCGUUAUCCGGAUUUACUGGGUGUAAAGGGAGCGUAGGCGGCGCGUUAAGUCUGAUGUGAAAACCCGAGGCUCAACCACGGGAGUGCAUUGGAAACUGGCGGGCUGGAGUGCCGGAGAGGUAAGCGGAAUUCCUAGUGUAGCGGUGAAAUGCGUAGAUAUUAGGAGGAACACCAGUGGCGAAGGCGGCUUACUAGACGGCAACUGACGCUGAGGCUCGAAAGCGUGGGGAGCAAACAGGAUUAGAUACCCUGGUAGUCCACGCUGUAAACGAUGGAUAAUGGGUGUGGGGGGACUGACCCCCUCCGUUCCGCAGUUAACACAAUGAGUAUCCCCACCCUGGGGAGUACGAUCACAAGGUUGAAAGUCAAAGGAAUUGAGCGAGGGCCCGCACAAGCGGUGGAGUAUAUAGUUUAAUUGGAAGGAACGCGAGGAACCUUGCCAGGGCUUGACGUCCCGAGGCCCGGUGUAGAGAUACACCUUUCUCUUCGGAGACCUCGGUGACAGGUGGUGCAUGGUUGUCGUCAGCUCGUGUCGUGAGAUGUUGGGUUAAGUCCCGCAACGAGCGCAACCCUUAUUGUUAGUUGCUACGCAAGAGCACUCUAGCGAGACUGCCGUUGACAAAACGGAGGAAGGUGGGGACGACGUCAAAUCAUCAUGCCCCUUAUGUCCUGGGCCACACACGUACUACAAUGGUGGUUAACAGAGGGAAGCAAUACUGUGAAGUGGAGCAAAUCCCUAAAAGCCAUCCCAGUUCGGAUGGCAGGCUGCAACCCGCCUGCGUGAAGUUGGAAUCGCUAGUAAUCGCGGAUCAGCAUGCCGCG
This 1342-nucleotide ribosomal RNA is filed under the name uncultured bacterium. RNAcentral's name for it is "bacterial SSU rRNA". It matches the Rfam family "Bacterial small subunit ribosomal RNA", at positions 22 to 1361 of the family's 1533-position model. The record is from RNAcentral.